RNAcentral lists this ribosomal RNA (1725 nucleotides) under Salmonella enterica. Its description in RNAcentral is "partial 23S ribosomal RNA". It matches the Rfam family "Bacterial large subunit ribosomal RNA", at positions 1095 to 2803 of the family's 2925-position model. Lineage: Bacteria; Pseudomonadati; Pseudomonadota; Gammaproteobacteria; Enterobacterales; Enterobacteriaceae. The record is from RNAcentral.
AGGAUGUUGGCUUAGAAGCAGCCAUCAUUUAAAGAAAGCGUAAUAGCUCACUGGUCGAGUCGGCCUGCGCGGAAGAUGUAACGGGGCUAAACCAUGCACCGAAGCUGCGGCAGCGACACUGUGUGUUGUUGGGUAGGGGAGCGUUCUGUAAGCCUGUGAAGGUGUGUCGUGAGGCAUGCUGGAGGUAUCAGAAGUGCGAAUGCUGACAUAAGUAACGAUAAAGCGGGUGAAAAGCCCGCUCGCCGGAAGACCAAGGGUUCCUGUCCAACGUUAAUCGGGGCAGGGUGAGUCGACCCCUAAGGCGAGGCCGAAAGGCGUAGUCGAUGGGAAACGGGUUAAUAUUCCCGUACUUGGUGUUACUGCGAAGGGGGGACGGAGAAGGCUAUGUUGGCCGGGCGACGGUUGUCCCGGUUUAAGCGUGUAGGUGUGUGUUCCAGGUAAAUCCGGUUCACUUUAACACUGAGGCGUGACGACGAGGCACUACGGUGCUGAAGCAACAAAUGCCCUGCUUCCAGGAAAAGCCUCUAAGCAUCAGGUAACAUCAAAUCGUACCCCAAACCGACACAGGUGGUCAGGUAGAGAAUACCAAGGCGCUUGAGAGAACUCGGGUGAAGGAACUAGGCAAAAUGGUGCCGUAACUUCGGGAGAAGGCACGCUGACACGUAGGUGAAGUGAUUUACUCAUGGAGCUGAAGUCAGUCGAAGAUACCAGCUGGCUGCAACUGUUUAUUAAAAACACAGCACUGUGCAAACACGAAAGUGGACGUAUACGGUGUGACGCCUGCCCGGUGCCGGAAGGUUAAUUGAUGGGGUCAGCGCAAGCGAAGCUCCUGAUCGAAGCCCCGGUAAACGGCGGCCGUAACUAUAACGGUCCUAAGGUAGCGAAAUUCCUUGUCGGGUAAGUUCCGACCUGCACGAAUGGCGUAAUGAUGGCCAGGCUGUCUCCACCCGAGACUCAGUGAAAUUGAACUCGCUGUGAAGAUGCAGUGUACCCGCGGCAAGACGGAAAGACCCCGUGAACCUUUACUAUAGCUUGACACUGAACAUUGAGCCUUGAUGUGUAGGAUAGGUGGGAGGCUUUGAAGUGUGGACGCCAGUCUGCAUGGAGCCGACCUUGAAAUACCACCCUUUAAUGUUUGAUGUUCUAACGUGGACCCGUUACCCGGGUUGCGGACAGUGUCUGGUGGGUAGUUUGACUGGGGCGGUCUCCUCCUAAAGAGUAACGGAGGAGCACGAAGGUUGGCUAAUCCUGGUCGGACAUCAGGAGGUUAGUGCAAUGGCAUAAGCCAGCUUGACUGCGAGCGUGACGGCGCGAGCAGGUGCGAAAGCAGGUCAUAGUGAUCCGGUGGUUCUGAAUGGAAGGGCCAUCGCUCAACGGAUAAAAGGUACUCCGGGGAUAACAGGCUGAUACCGCCCAAGAGUUCAUAUCGACGGCGGUGUUUGGCACCUCGAUGUCGGCUCAUCACAUCCUGGGGCUGAAGUAGGUCCCAAGGGUAUGGCUGUUCGCCAUUUAAAGUGGUACGCGAGCUGGGUUUAGAACGUCGUGAGACAGUUCGGUCCCUAUCUGCCGUGGGCGCUGGAGAACUGAGGGGGGCUGCUCCUAGUACGAGAGGACCGGAGUGGACGCAUCACUGGUGUUCGGGUUGUCAUGCCAAUGGCACUGCCCGGUAGCUAAAUGCGGAAGAGAUAAGUGCUGAAAGCAUCUAAGCACGAAACUUGCCCCGAG